Mytilus californianus (California mussel) is the source of this 399-nucleotide long non-coding RNA. RefSeq lists it as uncharacterized. The record is from RefSeq and is a predicted model, not a curated record. The transcript has 3 exons. Lineage: Eukaryota; Metazoa; Mollusca; Bivalvia; Mytilida; Mytilidae.
UUAAAACCCAGUCACAUUACACAGUCUAUGAGACAAAUGAACUGAUAUUUUUUUCUAAGUAAAACUGAAAUACAUUGACUAAAGAUGAUUAUGAGCGAGUUUGGUCCAGAUUAUCUUGAGGGUUUCAGAGGAAAAUUUAUUUCAUCAAAAGUUGAUAGCGACGGACGACGACGACAUAAGCAUAGUGAUGACAGUAGCUCACCUGACUUCAAACAAAGACCAGCAUACGUAAGAUUCCUAAUAUGGGUAGUCAGUACAGAAUGAUUUUACAAACAAUACUUAGGUACAGACAUUACAUAGAAUACUAGAGAAUAGGAAACUAUUUUUCGCAUGAAAUAUCCAGUUAUGUUACAAAAUAAACAACCUUAUUAAAUAAAACGGUAAAUCUAGAAAGUGAAU